AUGGCCAUCUUUGAUGAGUUCUAUGUUGGGUCCAUUGAUCUCGGGCGCCUUAACUACAUGACGAUCUCGCUUAUCCCCAAGGUCCCUGGGGCGUCUGACAUCCGUCAGUUUCGCCCGAUCACGGUGAUAAAUGUGAUCUUCCGUAUUCUGGCGAAAGGGUACGCCAAUAGGGUAACCCUGCUCGCGGACCACAUUACCCACCCCAACCAAUCGGCCUUCAUCCAAGGAUGAUAUAUUCUGGAUGGGGUGCUAGUCCUCCACGAGGUUCUCCAUGAGGUCCGCUCCAAACACCUCAAGGCGGUCUUCCUGAAGAUCGAUUUCCAUAAGGCCUAUGACAUUGUUAGCUGGCCCUUCCUUCGGGAAGUUCUUCUACGGAAAGGCUUCGAUGACCAUUGGAUCUCCAGGGUGAUGCAGAUGGUCUCCUGUGGUCGCACUGCCAUGAACAUCAAUGGGGAAAUUGGCCCCUACUUCCCCACUCUUUGUGGGGUGAGGCAAGGUGAUCCCUUUUCCCCGUUCCUGUUCAACAUGGUGGUGGACGCACUGGCGGCCAUCCUGGACAAGGCCGGCAGGCCAUAUCCGUGGGCUCACUCCCCACUUGGCCGGUGGCGCUGGCAUCUCCCUGCUCUAGUACGCUGA
Molecule: ribosomal RNA, 636 nt
Filed under: Triticum aestivum (bread wheat)
Lineage: Eukaryota; Viridiplantae; Streptophyta; Magnoliopsida; Poales; Poaceae
Description: partial small subunit ribosomal RNA
Source: RNAcentral